Molecule: ribosomal RNA, 298 nt
Filed under: Eriochiton hoheriae
Lineage: Eukaryota; Metazoa; Arthropoda; Insecta; Hemiptera; Eriococcidae
Description: partial 28S ribosomal RNA
Source: RNAcentral
GAGCCCGUGAAUCCGGGCGGCAGAAUUCAGAAUUGACGGGGCGCGAGUUCCGUCUGUUUGAUAUUUCUGUCGCCGUAUGCACGGACGUCGCGACCUGUUCGAUGUCGGUCGACUUUUUGUCCCAGGAACCGCGUUCGAGUUCGCUGUUGGGGCGUGCGCUCGCGUGCGUCUCGACGGCGAAGGCGCGGACUUCUGGCCGACUCGUCGGACAGUAUGUCAACGGGGGUGGCCGGCGUCGCCUUCAAAAGGGGCGGCGUCGGUGCCGGUCAGCGACGAAUCUUCGGGCCUCUUUCCGACC